UGAGUUUGAUCCUGGCUCAGAGCUAAUGCUAGCAGCAGGCCUAACACAUGCAAGUUGAGCAGAAUGACCUAGUAAUAGGUUGUCUAGCGGCAUACGGGUGAGUAAUGCGUAAGAUAUCUACCUUAUUCCAUGGGAUAAUACUAGGGCAACCUGUAUCAAUAUCAUAUGAUUCCUGUAUCAGGUAAAGAAGUGAUUUGGAAUAAGAUGAGCUUAUGUUAGAUUAGCUAGUUGGCGAAGGUAAGAGCUCACCUAGGCGAUAAUCUAUAGCUGGUCUGGGAGGACGAACAGCCACACUGGGACUGAGACACGGCCCAGACUCUUUCGGGAGGCAGCAGUGAGGAAUAUUGGACAAUGGGCGCAAGCCUGAUCCAGCUAUGUUGCGUGAGUGAUGACAGUUCCAUAUAAACAUGCUAAGCGCAUGUGAAUUGUAAAACUCUUUUAUCAAUGUUCAUAGUGAUAUAAUUGAUGAAUAAGCUCCGGCCAACUCCGUGCCAGCAGCCGCGGUAAUACGGGGGGAGCAAGUGUUGUUCAGUUUAACUGGGCGUAAAGCGUGCUAAGGCUGUUUUAUAAGUUAAUAAUUAAAUCUUGAAGCUUAACUUCAUAUGAUUAUUAAUACUGUUUAACUAGAAUAUAAUGGGGGUGAACAGAAUUCCAAGUGUAGAGGUUAAAUUUGUUGAUAUUUGGAGGACUACCGGAGGCGAAGGCGGUUCACUAUGUUAUUAUUGACGCUUAUUGCACGAAAGCGUGGGUAGCAAACAGGAUUAGAUACCCUGGUAGUCCACGCUGUAAACGAUGAGUGCUAGCAGUUGAAGCAUCCUAUAUGGCUUUGAUUGCACAGCUAACGCGUUAAGCACUCCGCCAGGGUAGUAUGAUCGCAAGAUUGAAACCCAAAGGAAUUGACGGAGGCCUGUCCAAGCGGUGGAGCAUGUGGUUUAAUUCGAAACUACACGAAGAAUCUUACCAGCCCUUGACAUUUUAGGCUAAAGACAUUUAAUUAAAGUUAAUUAUCAUGUCCGAAAGGACGGCCUUUAACAGGUGCUGCAUGGCUGUCGUCAGCUCGUGUCGUGAGAUGUAUGAUUAAGUUCCAUAACUAGCGCAACCCUUGCCCUUAGUUGCUUAAAGUAAUAAAACCAGCUCUCUAAGGGGACUGCUAAUUCAAAGUUAGAGGAAGGAGAGGAUAACGUCAAGUCAUCAUGGCCCUUAUGGGCUGGGCCACACACGUGCUACAAUAGCAACCACAGAGAGUCGCAAUGCCGCGAGGCUGAGCAAAUCUUUUAAAAGUUGUUUAAGUUCAGAUUGCACCUCUGUAAUUCGAGUGCAUGAAGCAGGAAUCGCUAGUAAUCGCGGAUCAGCAUGCCGCGGUGAAUACGUUCUCAGGCCUAGUACACACUGCCCGUCACGCCAUGGGAGCCAGCUUUGCUUUAAGCCUAUGCAUUAGCAAAGGUAAUAGCAAAACAGGUGACUGGGGCGAAGUCGUAACAAGGUAGCCGUAGGUGAACCUGUGGCUG
RNAcentral lists this ribosomal RNA (1508 nucleotides) under Candidatus Hodgkinia cicadicola. RNAcentral describes it as "bacterial SSU rRNA". It matches the Rfam family "Bacterial small subunit ribosomal RNA". The record is from RNAcentral. Lineage: Bacteria; Pseudomonadati; Pseudomonadota; Alphaproteobacteria; Hyphomicrobiales.